RNAcentral lists this ribosomal RNA (916 nucleotides) under uncultured archaeon. RNAcentral's name for it is "SSU rRNA". It matches the Rfam family "Archaeal small subunit ribosomal RNA", at positions 1 to 922 of the family's 1478-position model. The record is from RNAcentral.
UUUCCGGUUGAUCCCGCCGGACCUGACUGCUAUCGGAUUGAUACUAAGCCAUGCGAGUCUUUGCAGUAAUGCAAGGCAUACGGCUCAGUAACACGUAGUCAACCUACCCUAUGGACGAGAAUAAUCUCGGGAAACUGAGCAUAAUUCUUGAUAGAUCAUAAUGCCUGGAAUGGUUUAUGGUUAAAAUGAUUCGUCGCCAUAGGAUGGGACUGCGGCCUAUCAGCUUGUUGGUGAGGUAAUGGCCCACCAAGGCGAUUACAGGUACGGGCUCUGAGAGGAGAAGCCCGGAGAUGGGUACUGAGACACGGACCCAGGCCCUAUGGGGCGCAGCAGGCGAGAAAACUUUGCAAUGUGCGAAAGCACGACAAGGUUAAUCCGAGUGAUUUCUGCUAAAGAAAUCUUUUGCCAGUCGUAAAACCGCUGGUGAAUAAGGGGUGGGCAAGUUCUGGUGUCAGCCGCCGCGGUAAAACCAGCACCUCAAGUGGUCAGGAUGAUUAUUGGGCCUAAAGCAUCCGUAGCCGGCUUUGUAAGUUUUCGGUUAAAUCCAUGUGCUCAACGCAUGGGCUGCCGAAAAUACUGCAUAGCUAGGGAGUGGGAGAGGUAGACGGUACUCAGUAGGUAGGGGUAAAAUCCUUUGAUCUAUUGAUGACCACCUGUGGCGAAGGCGGUCUACCAGAACACGUUCGACGGUGAGGGAUGAAAGCUGGGGGAGCAAACCGGAUUAGAUACCCGGGUAGUCCCAGCUGUAAACGAUGCAGACUAGAUGAUGCAUUGGCAUAAUAGCCAUUGCAGUGUCUCAGGGAAGCCGUUAAGUCUGCCGCCUGGGAAGUACGUACGCAAGUAUGAAACUUAAAGGAAUUGGCGGGGGAGCACCACAAGGGGUGAAGCCUGCGGUUCAAUUGGAGUCAACGCCGGG